GGCCGCUUACUCCUCGUCCUCAGCCUCGUUGUCGGCAAUGUUGAAGUACCGGAGCUCGUAGACGUUGCGGUCCUUGUUGGAAGCAAUGACGCGCAGCCAGUCGCGCACGUUGUGCUUCUUCAGGUACUUCUUGGUGAGGUACUUCAGGUAGCGCUUGCUCAGCUGGGACUCAGCAGUCACGGUGACCUUGGUCUUCUCCUUGGCCACCUUGAUAGAGUCGCCCAGCACGCCGGUCUUGCCGUCCACCUUGAUCUUGUCCAUCAGGAACUUCUCAAACGAGGAGAUGUCCAUAAUCUUGUCCUCCACCGGCUUGGAGCAGUCGAUGGUGAAGACCAGGGCCUUCUUCUUCGCCGCGCCCUUGGCGGCCGGCUUCUUAACACCCACGGCCAUUUUUUUGAGCUAGCGGCCUAAA
Molecule: long non-coding RNA, 412 nt
Filed under: Chlamydomonas reinhardtii
Lineage: Eukaryota; Viridiplantae; Chlorophyta; Chlorophyceae; Chlamydomonadales; Chlamydomonadaceae
Description: long non-coding RNA (CREI_LNC000670)
Source: RNAcentral